CCUACGGGAGGCAGCAGUGAGGAAUAUUGGUCAAUGGGCGAGAGCCUGAACCAGCCAAGUCGCGUGAGGGAGUACUGCCCUAUGGGUUGUAAACCUCUUUUGUCGGGGAGCAAAAGCCGGACGUGUCCGGCUGUGAGAGUACCCGCAGAAAAAGCAUCGGCUAACUCCGUGCCAGCAGCCGCGGUAAUACGGAGGAUGCGAGCGUUAUCCGGAUUUAUUGGGUUUAAAGGGUGCGCAGGCGGGUUUUUAAGUCAGCGGUAAAAUCGUGGGGCUCAACCCCAUCCAGCCGUUGAAACUGGGGAUCUAGAGUGCGCGAGAGGUACGCGGAAUGCGUGGUGUAGCGGUGAAAUGCAUAGAUAUCACGCAGAACCCCGAUUGCGAAGGCAGCAUACCGGUGCACAACUGACGCUCAGGCACGAAAGCGUGGGUAUCGAACAGGAUUAGAUACCCCUGUAGUC
Molecule: ribosomal RNA, 458 nt
Filed under: uncultured bacterium
Lineage: Bacteria
Description: partial 16S ribosomal RNA
Rfam family: Bacterial small subunit ribosomal RNA
Source: RNAcentral